UUACUUUUUUGUCCAUUUGGCGCUAGUCAUACUUCACUGGCAUCCCCUUAUGCUUUGUUUUAUCGUUAUUUUUAAUAUUACAAUAAAAUUAUUAGGUGACACAAAUUGAAACUCUGAUUUAUUAGAUCAUAUUGAAAUCAGUUUAAACGCUCGUUCACGCUUCUACAUUGAUAAAAUUAGUUAUAUUUUAUUGAUUAAGUAAAAAUGAAAAUCUUGGGUUUACUAAUAUCAUUUGGAUUGAUAAGUGUUUUGGUAGCUGAUGAUCGGAAUGAAUAUUAUAACAUAAUCAAAAAUACAAGUCAGUAAAAAG
Adelges cooleyi (spruce gall adelgid) is the source of this 310-nucleotide long non-coding RNA. RefSeq lists it as uncharacterized. The record is from RefSeq and is a predicted model, not a curated record. NCBI's taxonomy places the organism in Eukaryota, Metazoa, Arthropoda, Insecta, Hemiptera, Adelgidae. The transcript is spliced from 3 exons.